ACAAAGUCAAAGCUGCAGGGUAAAAUAUUUUCCAUGGUUUAAAUUUAGGAAAAGAAACAAAGAAGAGUUAGGUAGUUAAUGAACUUACUUUGGCAUAAUUAAACCUAACACUGAGCCUAAUUGUGAGCAGAAAUUAGAAAAGGUUUGACAUAUAGAACAAUAAUUAGCGAAAAUGAUUUGGGCUUUUAUUAAUUUACUUGGUUUUUGUUUUGAAUUUUU
This 219-nucleotide long non-coding RNA is filed under the name Prunus persica (peach). RNAcentral's name for it is "long non-coding RNA (PPER_LNC006393)". The record is from RNAcentral. Lineage: Eukaryota; Viridiplantae; Streptophyta; Magnoliopsida; Rosales; Rosaceae.